GAGUGAAGCGGCAACAGCUCAAAUUUGAAAUCUGGGUCCGAGUUGUAAUUUGCAGAGGGUGCUUUGGCAUUGGCCGGUCUAAGUUCCUUGGAACAGGACAUCGCAGAGGGUGAGAAUCCCGUACGGGCGCCUGCCUGCCGUGUAAAGCCCCUUCGACGAGUCGAGUUGUUUGGGAAUGCAGCUCUAAAUGGGAGGUAAAUUUCUUCUAAAGCUAAAUACCGGCCAGAGACCGAUAGCGCACAAGUAGAGUGAUCGAAAGAUGAAAAGUACUUUGGAAAGAGAGUCAAAUAGCACGUGAAAUUGUUGAAAGGGAAGCGCUUGCAGCCAGACUUGCCCGCAGGCUCACCUAGGCUUUUGCCUGGGGCACUCUUGCGGCAGGCCAGCAUCAGUUUGGGCGGUUGGAUAAGGCCUCUGUCACGUAUCUCCGGUGACCUUAUAGGGGAGGCGAUGCACCAGCCCGGACUGAGGUCCGCGCAUCUGCUAGGAUGCUGGCGUAAUGGCUGUAAGCGGCCCGUCUUGAAACACGGACCAAGGAGUCUAACAUCUAUGCGAGUGUUUGGGUGUCAAGCCCGGGCGCGCAAUGAAAGUGAACGGAGGUGGGAACGGUGCACCAUCGACCGAUCCUGAAGUCUUCGGAUGGAUUUGAGUAAGAGCAUAGCUGUU
Molecule: ribosomal RNA, 663 nt
Filed under: Letendraea sp. ES11
Lineage: Eukaryota; Fungi; Ascomycota; Dothideomycetes; Pleosporales; Didymosphaeriaceae
Description: LSU rRNA
Rfam family: Eukaryotic large subunit ribosomal RNA
Source: RNAcentral